GCCCCGGUAGCUCAAUGGAUAGAGCGAUUCCCUCCUAAGGAAUAGGUUGUAGGUUCGAUUCUUACCCGGGGCACCA
This 76-nucleotide transfer RNA is filed under the name Candidatus Saccharimonadota bacterium. RNAcentral describes it as "tRNA-Arg". It matches the Rfam family "tRNA". Rfam says of the family: Transfer RNA (tRNA) molecules are approximately 80 nucleotides in length. Their secondary structure includes four short double-helical elements and three loops (D, anti-codon, and T loops). RNAcentral also lists the same sequence under 1 other name. The record is from RNAcentral. Lineage: Bacteria; Candidatus Saccharimonadota.